This 551-nucleotide ribosomal RNA is filed under the name uncultured bacterium. RNAcentral describes it as "partial 16S ribosomal RNA". It matches the Rfam family "Bacterial small subunit ribosomal RNA", at positions 355 to 899 of the family's 1533-position model. The record is from RNAcentral.
UGGGGAAUUUUGGACAAUGGGCGCAAGCCUGAUCCAGCCAUGCCGCGUGCGGGAAGAAGGCCUUCGGGUUGUAAACCGCUUUUGUCAGGGAAGAAAUCUUCUGAGUUAAUACCUCGGGAGGAUGACGGUACCUGAAGAAUAAGCACCGGCUAACUACGUGCCAGCAGCCGCGGUAAUACGUAGGGUGCAAGCGUUAAUCGGAAUUACUGGGCGUAAAGCGUGCGCAGGCGGUUUUGUAAGACAGAGGUGAAAUCCCCGGGCUCAACCUGGGAACUGCCUUUGUGACUGCAAGGCUUGAGUGCGGCAGAGGGGGAUGGAAUUCCGCGUGUAGCAGUGAAAUGCGUAGAUAUGCGGAGGAACACCGAUGGCGAAGGCAAUCCCCUGGGCCUGCACUGACGCUCAUGCACGAAAGCGUGGGGAGCAAACAGGAUUAGAUACCCUGGUAGUCCACGCCCUAAACGAUGUCAACUGGUUGUUGGGAAGGUUCCUUCUCAGUAACGUAGCUAACGCGUGAAGUUGACCGCCUGGGAAGUACGGCCGCAAGGUUGAAA